This 74-nucleotide transfer RNA is filed under the name Hordeum vulgare. Its description in RNAcentral is "tRNA-OTHER". Lineage: Eukaryota; Viridiplantae; Streptophyta; Magnoliopsida; Poales; Poaceae. The record is from RNAcentral.
GUCUUUGUAGCCCAGUUGGUCAGUGCGCUUGCUCAUCACCAUGGAAGUCUGGGGUUCGAUUCCCAGCUGCCCCA